This 61-nucleotide transfer RNA is filed under the name Cochlostyla marinduquensis. Its description in RNAcentral is "tRNA-Thr". It matches the Rfam family "tRNA". From Rfam's summary of the family: Transfer RNA (tRNA) molecules are approximately 80 nucleotides in length. Their secondary structure includes four short double-helical elements and three loops (D, anti-codon, and T loops). Further hydrogen bonds mediate the characteristic L-shaped molecular structure. tRNAs have two regions of fundamental functional importance: the anti-codon, which is responsible for specific mRNA codon recognition, and the 3' end, to which the tRNAs corresponding amino acid is attached (by aminoacyl-tRNA synthetases). tRNAs cope with the degeneracy of the genetic code in two manners: having more than one tRNA (with a specific anti-codon) for a particular amino acid; and 'wobble' base-pairing, i.e. permitting non-standard base-pairing at the 3rd anti-codon position. The record is from RNAcentral. Lineage: Eukaryota; Metazoa; Mollusca; Gastropoda; Stylommatophora; Camaenidae.
AUAAAUAUAGCUUAAUUAAAGCUUUGAUUUUGUAAAUCAAAAAUGGUACAUCCUAUUUAUG